Molecule: non-coding RNA, 149 nt
Organism: Pelobates cultripes (western spadefoot toad)
Lineage: Eukaryota; Metazoa; Chordata; Amphibia; Anura; Pelobatidae
Source: the annotation of a GenBank genome assembly
ACAUCCCGGGCCAAUCUGCAGCUGACCCUCCCUCCCAGACCCUUCCACCUCCUGGACAGCAUCCAUUGUGAAGCUGCCUUCAAAAUGGAUGCUGUUCAGGAGGUGGAAGGGUCUGGGAGGGAGGGUCAGCUGCAGAUUGGCUGGGAUGU